GGAAGAAUUUUGGAGGCCACACUUUCUUCUAAUACUGAUACACGGCUCAAGAUGCAAUCUCUGCAAAACAUGUAUGAGUAUCUUCUUGAUGCUGAAAGUCAAAUGGGAACAAAUAAUGCAAGCGAGAAUGAAGAUGCUAACACAGCAGUUGGUGGCCCUAGUGUGCCUGUUGCUGCAGGGGCUGGUGAUACCAACAUUUGUGGAGGAAUAAUUCAGUUGUAUUGGUCUAAAAUCUUAGAAAGAUGCCUAGAUGUGAAUGAACAAGUGCGUCAGUCUUCUCUUAAGAUUGUGGAAGUUGUACUGCGUCAAGGUCUUGUUCAUCCUAUUACCUGUGUUCCCUCUUUGAUAGCUCUUGAAACAGAUCCGCAGGAGGUGAACUCAAAGCUGGCUCAUCAUUUGUUGAUGAACAUGAAUGAGAAGUAUCCAUCCUUCUUUGAGAGUCGUCUUGGUGAUGGUCUACAAAUGUCAUUUAUGUUCAUA
RNAcentral lists this unclassified non-coding RNA (480 nucleotides) under Hevea brasiliensis (rubber tree). Lineage: Eukaryota; Viridiplantae; Streptophyta; Magnoliopsida; Malpighiales; Euphorbiaceae. The record is from RNAcentral.